UCCUACGGGAGGCAGCAGUGGGGAAUUUUCCGCAAUGGGCGAAAGCCUGACGGAGCAAUACCGCGUGAGGGAAGACGGCCUAUGGGUUGUAAACCUCUUUUUUCAGGGAGGAAUUCAAUGACGUGUACCUGAAGAAUAAGCAUCGGCUAACUCCGUGCCAGCAGCCGCGGUAAU
This 174-nucleotide ribosomal RNA is filed under the name uncultured bacterium. RNAcentral describes it as "partial 16S ribosomal RNA". It matches the Rfam family "Bacterial small subunit ribosomal RNA", at positions 337 to 524 of the family's 1533-position model. The record is from RNAcentral.